GAACUCUGGGGUCGGGCCAGGCUGGAGCUUGGGCUUAGACCAGUGGGGAGGCGAAUUCCACCCUCACAAAGCCCCUGUUGGGGAGUUGGGGUCUCCCACAUCCGACAUCCGGUGGUUCAUCCUGGGGAAGGGGCUGAUGGUGGGAUUCCCACUGCCUGGCUUUCCCAGGGACUGCAGGGUCUGUUCUCAGGCUCCCGGCAUUCCGGGGACUCCCCUGGGAGCUACUGGCCUCUCAGUCCCUUCACUGCCGGGUGGGGGCAGGAAAAAGAGGAUGUAGAUGCAACAUCUUCCUGGGGACUAGGAACCCUUAAGCCAGACAGUAGUGGGUGGGUCGGGCAUUUGAAGCGGUCCCAGCCCUCCCAUCCCAGCCCCCUGAUCUGCUGGACCCUUAGACCAAGGCUGGCCCGCAUGUCCCCUCAGAUCCCAGGGCUUUCUCCGCCUAGGACAGCCCACCUGCUCGACCGCAGCCCCCAGCACCCAGGACCUCCUCCCGGGGAUCCAGCCCUGGCUGGAGGGCGCGGGUAUAGGCUCCUCUGCGCGCCCCAGGAGCCCUACUCCGGAGGUCCAGCCGGCGGCGCCUGGGGGCGGGGCAUCCUGCCUCGCACCAACCCAAACAUUACCAUAAAUGCUCAGGCUGCAGCCUCGGGCCGCGCCGUGCCUGGCGGGGUUGGGGGGGGCGGCCUGGGAG
RNAcentral lists this long non-coding RNA (688 nucleotides) under Marmota monax (woodchuck). The record is from RNAcentral. Lineage: Eukaryota; Metazoa; Chordata; Mammalia; Rodentia; Sciuridae.